This 590-nucleotide small RNA is filed under the name Pan troglodytes (chimpanzee). Its description in RNAcentral is "retained intron". The record is from RNAcentral. Lineage: Eukaryota; Metazoa; Chordata; Mammalia; Primates; Hominidae.
AAAGUGAGAUCACACUGUCACACUGGGCACUCCUGGAAGUUAGCAGGUGCUCAGCAGAGGAGCUGGCUUGAGACCUGACUGGGUGCCCUGGUUCUCUGGAGAAGCAUGCUGUGCUGAGUAGGAGACACUUCUCUGCCACGUUUUCUCUGUGCCUGCUGCGUGGGGAUGGGCCCCAGCCGUGCCUUGGCAUGUCCCCCAUCCACAGGCCGGCAUGUCCCCCAUCCACAGGCCAGCCUGUCCCUGUGGGUCUUGUCCAGUGACCAGGAUGGGCCAUGCUUCUCUCCACAGAGCCCCAAAGGCUUCCUGGAGAGCUACGAGGAGAUGCUGAGCUAUGCCCUGCGGCCCGAGACCUGGGCCACGACACGGCUGGAGCUGGAGGGCCGAGGGGUGGUAUGCAUGAGCUUCUUCGACAUCGUGCUGGACUUCAUCCUCAUGGACGCCUUCGAGGACCUGGAGAACCCUCCGGCCUCGGUGCUCGCCGUCCUGCGGAACCGCUGGCUGUCAGACAGCUUCAAGGAGACGGUGGGUCACUGCCCUGCUCUCAGACCCACACUUGCUCACAUCAGCCCGUGUGGUUGCCUGGCUCCGUC